RNAcentral lists this unclassified non-coding RNA (235 nucleotides) under plant metagenome. RNAcentral's name for it is "partial contains small subunit ribosomal RNA, internal transcribed spacer 1, and 5.8S ribosomal RNA". The record is from RNAcentral.
UUUCCGUAGGUGAACCUGCGGAAGGAUCAUUAAAGUUAUAGUCCCCCGGCCCCUCCGGGCUGGGGUCUUCUACACCACCCUUUGUUUAUUACACCUUUGUUGCUUUGGCAGGCCUGCCCUCGGGCUGCUGGCUCCGGCCGGCUCGUGCCUGCCAGAGGACCUAAACUCUGUUUGUAUAUGAAGUCUGAGUACUAUAUAAUAGUUAAAACUUUCAACAACGGAUCUCUUGGUUCUG